AACGCACCUUGCACCAUAUGAGCAAUCGUAUGGUAUACCUGUUUGAGAAUCGUAAAAAUCUAUCCUACCGAUUAGGUAGGGACUUGUCGACUGAGUGCGUCUUGUGCGCAUCCAUCGAUUAAAAGUAGUAGGUCUAGUCAGGCUGGUGGCCUGGGACAUUGUGUGCUAGAGACGUCGCUUCGGCUGACUGUCUUCUCACAGUGCGUCCCUUGCUAUACAAGCUAGUCUGGUCUUGGCCUUUACAGUCAUCGUAAGGUGACAACCCCCCUUUUUGAUCUCAAAUCAGGUAAGGCUACCCGCUGAACUUAA
RNAcentral lists this unclassified non-coding RNA (309 nucleotides) under uncultured Pucciniomycetes. RNAcentral describes it as "sequence contains ITS2". The record is from RNAcentral. Lineage: Eukaryota; Fungi; Basidiomycota; Pucciniomycetes.